RNAcentral lists this transfer RNA (70 nucleotides) under Heliconius melpomene (postman butterfly). RNAcentral describes it as "tRNA HMEL003765". It matches the Rfam family "tRNA". Rfam says of the family: Transfer RNA (tRNA) molecules are approximately 80 nucleotides in length. Their secondary structure includes four short double-helical elements and three loops (D, anti-codon, and T loops). Lineage: Eukaryota; Metazoa; Arthropoda; Insecta; Lepidoptera; Nymphalidae. The record is from RNAcentral.
GCAUCGGUGGUUCAGUGGUAGAAUGCUCGCCUGCCACGCGGGCAGCCCGGGUUCAAUUCCCGGCGAUGAA